GACGAACGCUGGCGGCGUGCUUAACACAUGCAAGUCGAACGGAAAGGCCCUGCUUUUGUGGGGUGCUCGAGUGGCGAACGGGUGAGUAACACGUGAGUAACCUGCCCUUGACUUUGGGAUAACUUCAGGAAACUGGGGCUAAUACCGGAUAGGAGCUCCUGCUGCAUGGUGUGGGUUGGAAAGUUUCGGCGGUUGUGGAUGGACUCGCGGGUUAUCAGCUUGUUGGUGGAGUAGUGGCUUACCAAGGCUUUGACGGAUAGCCGGCCUGAGAGGGGUACCGGCGACAUGGGUACUGAGAUACGGCGCAGAAUCCAACGGGAGGCAGUAGGGGGAAGUAUUGCACAAUGGGCGGAAGCCUGAUGUAGCAACGCCGCGUGCGGGAUGACGUCCUUCGGGGGGUAAACCGAUUUCGCCUGUGACGAAGCGUGAGUGACGGUAAUGGGUAAAGAAGCACCGGCUAACUACGUG
Molecule: ribosomal RNA, 468 nt
Filed under: uncultured bacterium
Lineage: Bacteria
Description: partial 16S ribosomal RNA
Rfam family: Bacterial small subunit ribosomal RNA
Source: RNAcentral